Triticum urartu is the source of this 197-nucleotide non-coding RNA. NCBI's taxonomy places the organism in Eukaryota, Viridiplantae, Streptophyta, Magnoliopsida, Poales, Poaceae. The record is from Rfam.
AUACCUUUCUCGGCCUUUUGGCUAAGAUCAAGUGUAGUAUCUGUUCUUAUCAGUUUAAUAUUUGAUAUGUGGGCCAUGUGCCCACAACGAUAUUAAAUUUAUUUUUUAUGGGGGAGGGACCACCACAGUGGCUUGCCAUUGGGUCUUUCGGGUGUCGCCCAGUGCGUUGCACUAUUGCCUGGGCAGGCGCACCCCAA